UAGGUAACCUGCCUCUAAGAUUGGGAUAACUUGUCGAAAGACGAGCUAAUACCAAAUAAGACCACGGUCUCCUCGGGGACAGAGGUCAAAGGUAGCCUCUAUUUAUAAGCUAUCGCUGAGAGAUGGGCCUGCGUACCAUUAGCUUGUUGGUGAGGUACGGCUCACCAAGGCAAAGAUGGUUAGCUGGUCUGAGAGGAUGAUCAGCCACACUGGAA
RNAcentral lists this ribosomal RNA (215 nucleotides) under uncultured bacterium. Its description in RNAcentral is "partial 16S ribosomal RNA". It matches the Rfam family "Bacterial small subunit ribosomal RNA", at positions 118 to 318 of the family's 1533-position model. The record is from RNAcentral.